UCCGGUGACGUCACAACGCGGGGUGUAUAAAAGGCGGAGCCGCCCUUCAAUCGGCCAUUUCACAGCGAGCUCUGACUGAGAGCCGCACGGACCCGAGAGAAGAGAAACGAUGCCUUGCACGGGUGUGAAAGCAGCUGCCUGUGAGAGGAGCGCCCCUCCCUGUGCUGUGAUGCACCUGUUCCCAGGCUGUGUCCGAAUCAUCUUGACCUGCUCCUGACGCACGAGGGAGAUUUUCAAGGCUGUGAUCUCUGACGAUGCGAUGCUCCAUCCUGGAGGGUGACGGGAGACUGUGGGCUGCAGGGAUCCUGUAACAUGGGUCUGACUCCCGGGCUGUACCGACCCACGCAGUGAAGCCGGCGCCCUCUGCUGGCUGCUGCUGGACCUGCAGAGCCCCUAUCUCUUGCAGUGAAGCCGGCGCCCUCUGCUGGCAGCUGCUGGACCUGCAGAGCCCCUAUCUCUUGCAGUGAAGCCGGCGCCCUCUGCUGGCAGCUGCUGGACUUGCAUCCUGAAGCCAGUUCAGUCCUGGUCUGUGACCCGGAUCUCUCUCAAGGGCUGUGCGCAACCAGACAGCAGGCUGUGAUCUCUGACGAUGCGAUGCUCCGUCCUGGAGGGUGACGGGAGACCGUGGGCUGCAGAGAUCUGGCAGCUGAGGUGGUCAGCUGGUCUUCAGUAUUCUUUUUAAAAGGUGAGUCGCUUCAUAAACCCUUUCUGUGCUGAAAUUAUUUUAAAUAGGCCUCCAUUUCUGUCAUU
This is a long non-coding RNA of Acipenser ruthenus (sterlet), 750 nucleotides long. RefSeq lists it as uncharacterized. The transcript has 10 exons. NCBI's taxonomy places the organism in Eukaryota, Metazoa, Chordata, Actinopteri, Acipenseriformes, Acipenseridae. The record is from RefSeq and is a predicted model, not a curated record.